This 77-nucleotide transfer RNA is filed under the name Marmota monax (woodchuck). RNAcentral's name for it is "tRNA.Gly". Lineage: Eukaryota; Metazoa; Chordata; Mammalia; Rodentia; Sciuridae. The record is from RNAcentral.
GCUGGGAAUAUAGCUCAGUUGGUAGACUGUUUGCCUCCCAUGCACAAGGCCCUGAUUCGAUAGUUCAAUCCCCAGCA